Molecule: ribosomal RNA, 253 nt
Filed under: uncultured bacterium
Lineage: Bacteria
Description: partial 16S ribosomal RNA
Rfam family: Bacterial small subunit ribosomal RNA
Source: RNAcentral
UACAGAGGUCUCAAGCGUUGUUCGGAUUCAUUGGGCGUAAAGCGCGUGUAGGCGGCUUGGCAAGUCGGAUGUGAAAGCCCACGGCUCAACCGUGGAAGCGCAUCCGAAACUGCUUCGCUUGAGUCUCGGAGAGGAAGGUGGAAUGCUUGGUGUAGAGGUGAAAUUCGUAGAUAUCAAGCAGAACACCUGCGGCGAAGGCGGCCUUCUGGACGAUGACUGACGCUGAGACGCGAAAGCGUGGGGAGCAAACAGG